GAUGAACGCUGGCGGCGUGCCUAAUACAUGCAAGUCGAGCGAACGGACGAGAAGCUUGCUUCUCUGAUCUUUGCGGCGGACGGGUGUGUAACACGUGGAUAACCUCCCUAUCAGACUGGGAUACCUUCGGGACACCGGAGCUAAUUCGGGAUGAUCUUUUGAACCGCAUGGUUCAGCAGUAAAAGACGGUCUUGCUGUCACUGAUAGAUGGAUCCGCGCUGCAUUAGGUAGUUGGUAAGGUAAAGGCUUACCAAGGCAACGAUGCAUAGCCGACCUGAGAGGGUGAUCGGCCACCUUGGAACUGAGACACGGUCCAGACGCCUGCGAGACGCAGCAGUAGGGAAUGGUCCGCAAUGGGCGAAAGCCUGACGGAGCAAGGCAGCGCGAGUUAUGACGGUCUUCGGAGCGUAAAACCCUGUUAUGAGGUAAGAACAUAUGUGUACGUAAAUGUGCACAACGUGACGGUACCUAAUCAGAAAGCCCCGGCUAACUACGUG
Molecule: ribosomal RNA, 497 nt
Filed under: uncultured bacterium
Lineage: Bacteria
Description: partial 16S ribosomal RNA
Rfam family: Bacterial small subunit ribosomal RNA
Source: RNAcentral